RNAcentral lists this ribosomal RNA (266 nucleotides) under uncultured Staphylococcus sp. Its description in RNAcentral is "partial 16S ribosomal RNA". It matches the Rfam family "Bacterial small subunit ribosomal RNA", at positions 96 to 355 of the family's 1533-position model. Lineage: Bacteria; Bacillati; Bacillota; Bacilli; Caryophanales; Staphylococcaceae. The record is from RNAcentral.
CGGCGGACGGGUGAGUAACACGUGGAUAACCUACCUAUAAGACUGGGAUAACUUCGGGAAACGGACGGCUAAUACCGGAUAAUAUAUUGAACCGCAUGGUUCAAUGGUGAAAGACGGUUUUGCUGUCACUUAUAGAUGGAUCCGCGCCGCAUUAGCUAGUUGGUAAGGUAACGGCUUACCAAGGCAACGAUGCGUAGCCGACCUGAGAGGGUGAUCGGCCACACUGGAACUGNGACACGGUCCAGACUCCUACGGGAGGCAGCAGC